This 27-nucleotide non-coding RNA is filed under the name Homo sapiens (human). Lineage: Eukaryota; Metazoa; Chordata; Mammalia; Primates; Hominidae. The record is from RNAcentral.
UUGAACAAUUGAUUAAGGACUCUGGCU